This 450-nucleotide ribosomal RNA is filed under the name uncultured bacterium. RNAcentral describes it as "bacterial SSU rRNA". It matches the Rfam family "Bacterial small subunit ribosomal RNA", at positions 354 to 796 of the family's 1533-position model. The record is from RNAcentral.
GUGGGGAAUAUUGGACAAUGGGCGAAAGCCUGAUCCAGCCAUGCCGCGUGUGUGAAGAAGGUCUUCGGAUUGUAAAGCACUUUAAGUUGGGAGGAAGGGCAGUAAGUUAAUACCUUGCUGUUUUGACGUUACCGACAGAAUAAGCACCGGCUAACUUCGUGCCAGCAGCCGCGGUAAUACGAAGGGUGCAAGCGUUAAUCGGAAUUACUGGGCGUAAAGCGCGCGUAGGUGGUUCAGCAAGUUGGAGGUGAAAUCCCCGGGCUCAACCUGGGAACUGCCUCCAAAACUACUGAGCUAGAGUACGGUAGAGGGUAGUGGAAUUGCCUGUGUAGCGGUGAAAUGCGUAGAUAUAGGAAGGAACACCAGUGGCGAAGGCGACUACCUGGACUGAUACUGACACUGAGGUGCGAAAGCGUGGGGAGCAAACAGGAUUAGAAACCCCUGUAGUCC